CCUACGGGAGGCUGCAGUGAGGAAUAUUGGUCAAUGGCCGAGAGGCUGAACCAGCCAAGUCGCGUGAGGGAAGAAUGUCCUAUGGAUUGUAAACCUCUUUUGUCAGGGAGCAAAGUCACUUACGUGUGGGUGUUGGAGUGUACCUGAAGAAUAAGCAUCGGCUAAUUCCGUGCCAGCAGCCGCGGUAAUACGGAGGAUCCGAGCGUUAUCCGGAUUUAUUGGGUUUAAAGGGUGCGUAGGCGGGUUAUCAAGUCAGCGGUAAAAUCGUGGGGCUCAACCCCGUCCAGCAGUUGAAACUGACGUGCUUGAGUGCGCGAGAAGGAUGCGGAAUGCGUGGUGUAGCGGUGAAAUGCAUAGAUAUCACGAAGAACCCCGAUUGCGAAGGCAGCAUACCGGAGCCCGACUGACGCUGAAGCUCGAAAGCGUGGGUAUCGAACAGGAUUAGAUACCCGUGUAGUC
Molecule: ribosomal RNA, 459 nt
Filed under: uncultured bacterium
Lineage: Bacteria
Description: partial 16S ribosomal RNA
Rfam family: Bacterial small subunit ribosomal RNA
Source: RNAcentral